GUCCACGCUGUAAACGAUGAGUGCUAGGCGUCGGCAAGCUUGCUUGUCGGUGCCGCAGCUAACGCGUGAAGCACUCCGCCUGGGGAGUACGGUCGCAAGAUUAAAACUCAAAGGAAUUGACGGGGGCCCGCACAAGCGGUGGAGCAUGUGGUUUAAUUCGACGCAACGCGCAGAACCUUACCAGCCCUUGACAUCCCGUGACCGGCUCAGAGAUGGGUUUUCCCAGCAAUGGGCACGGAGACAGGUGCUGCAUGGCUGUCGU
Molecule: ribosomal RNA, 262 nt
Filed under: uncultured bacterium
Lineage: Bacteria
Description: partial 16S ribosomal RNA
Rfam family: Bacterial small subunit ribosomal RNA
Source: RNAcentral